Molecule: transfer RNA, 58 nt
Filed under: Tumebacillus flagellatus
Lineage: Bacteria; Bacillati; Bacillota; Bacilli; Caryophanales; Alicyclobacillaceae
Rfam family: tRNA
About the family: Transfer RNA (tRNA) molecules are approximately 80 nucleotides in length.
Source: Rfam by way of RNAcentral
GCGGUCGUGGCGAAGUGGUUAACGCACCAGAUUGUGGCUCUGGCACUCGGGGGUUCGA